Molecule: non-coding RNA, 1441 nt
Organism: Punica granatum (pomegranate)
Lineage: Eukaryota; Viridiplantae; Streptophyta; Magnoliopsida; Myrtales; Lythraceae
Source: RefSeq, a predicted model, not a curated record
UCCACGUGUGAUUUCUUUCCUUUUCUUCCUUAUUUCUGUUUUGCUUUCUUCCUUUGCUCUGUUUUUGGUUGAGGAAAACGAAAAGAAACAGAGAGAGAGAGAGAGAGAGGAAACAUAGUAGAAGGGAAGAGGUGAGAACUCGAUCGAGAGUUUGGACUGGAUUACGGUAGAGGAGGAAGGAACAAAACCGAGAGGACGACAGGGGAGCGAGAGUUUCGGGGUGACAACAACGAAGAACCAAAGGGAUGACGGGCUAUGCCGAGAGUAUAGGGGUUGGGAAAUUUGAACUUAUUCCAAGGGUAGAGUUUAGAUUGCAAUUGGGUAAUUAACGAGCUUGCUAGGAGCCGAGGAGAAUGAGACUAUACACCCGGAAGGCUCUACUCGUUGAGUUAUCAUUUUAGGGGUUUUUGUGAGUAUUUUUAUUUCACUAUAGAAUGAAACUAAAUCUUAAAUUAAUUAUAUCAAUGUUUGUUUGAGUGAGAUAAGUUGAAUGAAGAUAGUAUGAGGAUUUAUUGUAAAUGAAUUCGAUUAAUAGUGGUGUGGUGAUAUUACUGUUUAUGGCCAUGGGACCACUGAUUCGAUGAGAUACAAAAAGAGAUGUCUAGAUUGCUAAUUUGGCAGGAUACAAAAAGGGACGUCUAGACUUCUACUACCGGAGGAUAACGGGCAACCCCCGCUUAUGAAAAAUCAAAUGAAGAUUUUUUAGAUGAGCUAGGAGCUAGACUAGCAGUACGGGAAAAUCGUUUUGGACAUCGGGGAUCAACGUGAAGAAUAUUGUAGCUAGACCCACUCGUAACAUAUGUAAUGAGUUAAGAGCUAGACUAGCAGUACGCGAAAAUCGUUGUGAACAUCGGGGAUCAGCGUGAAGAAUUUUGCAGCUAGACCCACUCGUAGCAUAAGUAGUAAGUUCAUGUAGUGUGUUAUAAAUAUGUUAUAAUCUGAAACUUUUGUCAAGUUGAUUCACUGAGUAUGGUAAAAAGGAGUACUAUCUUGAUAUCUAUAUAGAUAAUAGAGCUUGCUGGAUUUAUUACAUAUAUUGAGAUUUUAUGAAAAAUUCUACUAAAAUUUCAGAUCGUGACACUUGGUUGGCGUUUAAAUGCCUUGUCACUGUCGUGCAUAUCUGAUACCAGCUUGGCUUGAUGGUGGUUGGGGUAGGUAAGGAAAAUUAAUGAUGAUUACGUACAGUUUCCGGAUAGAGAUCAGUUACUUCUACCGUGAGAAUGCGUAACUGAAUCACCAACAUUUUUUAUAGGCAAAAUUAUUUUUUAUUUUUAAAAUGAACUUCAACCUCCUCAAGUAAGAUGCUGUGUAUUGAGUAAGACGGUUUGGUCCAGUUUCUUUCAUCAUUUACUAGAAAUCAAUAAGAUAUUUGAUGUUCUAUUUUCAACGGUGUGACUCUCCGCGUAUAUAUUUUUCCCUAUGCCUAUUCGCGUGCAAUUCC